RNAcentral lists this ribosomal RNA (500 nucleotides) under uncultured Glomeromycotina. Its description in RNAcentral is "partial small subunit ribosomal RNA". It matches the Rfam family "Eukaryotic small subunit ribosomal RNA", at positions 591 to 1092 of the family's 1831-position model. Lineage: Eukaryota; Fungi; Glomeromycota. The record is from RNAcentral.
CCAAUAGCGUAUAUUAAAGUUGUUGCAGUUAAAAAGCUCGUAGUUGAAUUUCGGGGUUAGUAGAUUGGUCGUGCCACUGGUAUGUACUGGUCUUACUGAUUCCUCCUUCCUGAUGAACCGUAAUGCCAUUAAUUUGGUGUUGCGGGGAGACUGGACUGUUACUUUGAAAAAAUUAGAGUGUUUAAAGCAGGCUAACGCUUGAAUACAUUAGCAUGGAAUAAUGAAAUAGGACGUUCGAUCCUAUUUUGUUGGUUUCUAGGAUUGACGUAAUGAUUAAUAGGGAUAGUUGGGGGCAUUAGUAUUCAAUUGUCAGAGGUGAAAUUCUUGGAUUUAUUGAAGACUAACUACUGCGAAAGCAUUUGCCAAGGAUGUUUUCAUUAAUCAAGAACGAAAGUUAGGGGAUCGAAGACGAUCAGAUACCGUCGUAGUCUUAACCAUAAACUAUGCCGACUAGGGAUCGGAUGAUGUUAAUUUUUUAAUGACUCAUUCGGCGCCUUACG